GCGAGAGUGGCGAAACUGGCAGACGCACUGGACUUAGGAUCCAGCGCACCUAGUGUGUAGGGGUUCAAAUCCCCUCUCUCGCA
This 83-nucleotide transfer RNA is filed under the name Candidatus Electronema aureum. It matches the Rfam family "tRNA". Rfam says of the family: Transfer RNA (tRNA) molecules are approximately 80 nucleotides in length. Lineage: Bacteria; Pseudomonadati; Thermodesulfobacteriota; Desulfobulbia; Desulfobulbales; Desulfobulbaceae. The record is from Rfam by way of RNAcentral.